RNAcentral lists this unclassified non-coding RNA (291 nucleotides) under Hevea brasiliensis (rubber tree). The record is from RNAcentral. Lineage: Eukaryota; Viridiplantae; Streptophyta; Magnoliopsida; Malpighiales; Euphorbiaceae.
AAGAAAACGCUAUCCCUCUCUCUCUCUCUCUAACGCAAUCCAUGGAUCUCUUUGGUCUGGGCAGCGUUGUUGUGGGUAAUAUCUGGUGAUUUAGUACAUUGUAUAUUCAGCGUUGCUUUCCCUUGGGCUAGUGUUUGUGAAAAUCGUGCAAAACAAGUUGGUGCAUAAACAUGCGGGCUCAAAGUUACAACUGAGGUUACAGGAAAAGCAUCAAGGCGAGAGGCGGGGACUUGGAGGAAUAUUUUUUGAUGAUCUGAAUGAGUAUGAUCAAGAUAUGCUUCUUUCCUUUGC